GCCUGGGUGGCUCAGUGGUUGAGCGUCUGCCUUCAGCUCAGAUCAUGAUCCCGGGCU
This 57-nucleotide transfer RNA is filed under the name Canis lupus familiaris (dog). Lineage: Eukaryota; Metazoa; Chordata; Mammalia; Carnivora; Canidae. RNAcentral also lists the same sequence under 2 other names. The record is from Rfam by way of RNAcentral.